CUGAACCGCUAACAAUUUACUUAACACUCUUUCAGUUUGUUUUUUACUAAUUUCUAAUCUACUAUAAAGAUAACGCAACCCAACAAGAUAACACAAAAUACAACCGAAACAGAAUGAAACAAAAACGGAACAAAAAAUCGUUGUAUCAAUUUUCCUAUUUUCUUGACAUGUGCAUUUGUGGUCUAUUUCUAUCUCUUCCUCAGGGCCGAACAACGUCAAACCUCGAGCCAACCAUUUUUCCCAGUUUGCCUGAGAAAGUUCUAGGGAUAGGCAGCUUGAAACAAAAACAAAACAAGUCAAAACAAGAACACAUUGUUUUUUGAAAUGGUCACCCAUUCUCUCACCUUCCCUUAGGGGCGAGCAAUUUCACUUACCCCCGAGCUUCAGGCGUUCCCUGCACGGGCCGCCAAAUGCCACAGUCUGGCUGGGUACAAAUCACGAGCCACUGAAGCAGGAACAAACUUUAUUUUUGAACUCCACCAAAACACUUCACACACGCUCAUGGGGAAUUCUCCCGAAUGCCAUGCGGCUCGUCCAGGAACCCACAGCCAGAAAAUCUCCUCCGGAAAUCCCUCCUCCUGCACUUCCCCAACCAAUGGGAACUCUCUGGGAAUCCCCAUGAGAACUCCAAAGUAGCGUGAGAACUCCAAAGUAGUGGCCAAGGCGGAUAGUAAUGCCUCACCUGUCAACCAAUACUAUUGGCAAAAUGCCAGGGGCCAUUCUGACUUCGGCUGUGGCUCUCAGCAGGUAAUAUCUUCAGAGAAUAAGUCUUAAAAACUAGACAGUUAAUAAAAUAAAAUCAAGCCUAGAUCCUCAAAGUCUGAUAACAGUUGAAGGGACUGAGUAGCUGUUUAAACUUAGACAAACCUCUCCCACACUCAUUUUUCUCAGGGUAAAAUAUCAGCUCACUCUAUUUGUUCUGAGGUUUGGCUAGAGCGAAAGGAAAAUAGAUAGAUAGAUAGAUAGAUAGAUAGAUAGAUAGAUAGAUAGAUAGAUAGAUAAAACAACUACUACUCAAGAGCCUACAGUGAAAUGUCCAUUCAGUUACUUGGUAUCAUUAUUAGCACCAAUGAAAAAGAGUGGCUGGACUUCACACUCUAUUUUCUGUAACAUAACACUUUCACUUUGCCAGUCUUGCCAUUUGAAGCCUGAUGUGUUAAGGAGCCCAUGGGCUUACUUACAUCAUUUAGGUGAAAGACAUGGCUGCAAUAUUCAGAAUCCAUAUCAAACUAAGGUGGUAAGAUGUGCUUGUUCACUGUGCUAAUGAACACAUUCUCUGGGGGACAGAUGGUGCAAUGAAAAUUAUGCGCACAAAGAUCAAUACAGAAAGUUGUUCAUCAAAACAUUGCUUAUAAUAUCAAAUAUCGGCAAACCCUAAAUAUCCAAUAUGAAGUUAGAACCCUUCAUAUGAUGUUCUUGAUAAAAAAAAAAACAGCAAUAAAUCUUUUAAAUUCUCUAUGGAGUAGGACAUUGUUCAUGCUGAAUAAAUAGA
RNAcentral lists this long non-coding RNA (1492 nucleotides) under Marmota monax (woodchuck). Lineage: Eukaryota; Metazoa; Chordata; Mammalia; Rodentia; Sciuridae. The record is from RNAcentral.